This 78-nucleotide transfer RNA is filed under the name Pseudomonas jilinensis. RNAcentral's name for it is "Pseudomonas sp. JS15-10A1 tRNA-Met". The stretch from base 1 to 57 matches the Rfam family "tRNA". From Rfam's summary of the family: Transfer RNA (tRNA) molecules are approximately 80 nucleotides in length. Lineage: Bacteria; Pseudomonadati; Pseudomonadota; Gammaproteobacteria; Pseudomonadales; Pseudomonadaceae. The record is from RNAcentral.
GGGCCUAUAGCUCAGUUGGUCAGAGCAGGCGACUCAUAAUCGCUUGGUCGAGGUCCGAAGGAAGCGUUAGAAUUACCA